AGUGAACGCUGGCGGUAGACCUAACACAUGCAAGUCGAACGGCAGCACAGUAAGAGCUUGCUCUUACGGGUGGCGAGUGGCGGACGGGUGAGGAAUACAUCGGAAUCUACUUUUUCGUGGGGGAUAACGUAGGGAAACUUACGCUAAUACCGCAUACGACCUACGGGUGAAAGCAGGGGAUCUUCGGACCUUGCGCGAUUGAAUGAGCCGAUGUCGGAUUAGCUAGUUGGCGGGGUAAAGGCCCACCAAGGCGACGAUCCGUAACUGGUCUGAGAGGAUGAUCAGCCACACUGGAACUGAGACACGGUCCAGACUCCUACGGGAGGCAGCAGUGGGGAAUAUUGGACAAUGGGCGCAAGCCUGAUCCAGCCAUACCGCGUGGGUGAAGAAGGCCUUCGGGUUGUAAAGCCCUUUUGUUGGGAAAGAAAAGCAGCAGGUUAAUACCCCGCUGUUCUGACGGUACCCAAAGAAUAAGCACCGGCUAACUUCG
This 490-nucleotide ribosomal RNA is filed under the name uncultured bacterium. RNAcentral describes it as "partial 16S ribosomal RNA". It matches the Rfam family "Bacterial small subunit ribosomal RNA", at positions 29 to 505 of the family's 1533-position model. The record is from RNAcentral.